Molecule: non-coding RNA, 386 nt
Organism: Chiloscyllium plagiosum (whitespotted bambooshark)
Lineage: Eukaryota; Metazoa; Chordata; Chondrichthyes; Orectolobiformes; Hemiscylliidae
Source: RefSeq, a predicted model, not a curated record
GCCAGCGACAUCCACGUUCAAUGAGUGAAUAAACAAAAACAGCUGGGGUCUCUCGUUGUGGCAUACAACACAUUACAAGGUUUCUGUCUGCAGCAUACCGGACACUAAAAUCUGUCAUCCACGACAAACUAAAUCGAGUCCCAGAGAUGUUGUUGCACACCUGGUCUGACUUUUCCACGGGCCUCCUGACUCAGAAAUAAGCACCGACACUGUGAUUCAAGACUCUCUCCAUCAGUUAUUUUCUGCCUUCGCAAAUAUUUGAUGGACCAAUCCAAGGGCGACCAGCUGCUUCUCACACCCAGCAGAAAAUACAGAAGUUUGAAUACACCACCCAACAAACUCAAGAACAGCUUCUCUGCUGUUAUCAGACUUUUGAAUGAACUGCU